This 549-nucleotide ribosomal RNA is filed under the name uncultured bacterium. RNAcentral describes it as "bacterial SSU rRNA". It matches the Rfam family "Bacterial small subunit ribosomal RNA", at positions 355 to 896 of the family's 1533-position model. The record is from RNAcentral.
UGGGGAAUAUUGGACAAUGGGCGAAAGCCUGAUCCAGCCAUGCCGCGUGUGUGAAGAAGGCCUUUUGGUUGUAAAGCACUUUAAGUGGGGAGGAAAAGCUUAUGGUUAAUACCCAUAAGCCCUGACGUUACCCACAGAAUAAGCACCGGCUAACUCUGUGCCAGCAGCCGCGGUAAUACAGAGGGUGCAAGCGUUAAUCGGAAUUACUGGGCGUAAAGCGCGCGUAGGUGGUUAUUUAAGUCAGAUGUGAAAGCCCCGGGCUUAACCUGGGAACUGCAUCUGAUACUGGAUAACUAGAGUAGGUGAGAGGGGAGUAGAAUUCCAGGUGUAGCGGUGAAAUGCGUAGAGAUCUGGAGGAAUACCGAUGGCGAAGGCAGCUCCCUGGCAUCAUACUGACACUGAGGUGCGAAAGCGUGGGUAGCAAACAGGAUUGGAUACCCUGGUAGUCCACGCCGUAAACGAUGUCUACCAGUCGUUGGGUCUUUUAAAGACUUAGUGACGCAGUUAACGCAAUAAGUAGACCGCCUGGGGAGUACGGCCGCAAGGUUA